UCGGAACCCUCACAUGGUCUGUACGACAUCCACCUACUUGGAUCCAAGGCGAGCGUGCGGUGUGGUGAAUAAAAUAAGCACUAACACCUAGGGUGCAGGUUAUGAGCUUGAAACAUCUUAUCAACAAUCAAUUAAAUGAAUAAUGAACUCACCUGACUUACCUGUGCCUCCACAGCACCAUGCAACAUGUAUGCAUCAUAUAUCAAUCAUAUAACUCAUAUGAAAUUCACAUUUUCCAAAUAAUUCUAUGCAUGGCAUUUUCAAAACAUAAUUUCGUAUAAAUUCAUCUUCUGGGAAAAAUUAAUAGUAUAACGGUAAUACGAAAACAAAACUGCCCACUCACUGAUAAGUCGACGGGUCGUAACCCCCGUGGCGUCCCUGGAUGCGGUCGUCCUCGGGAUACGUCUCACCUAUAUGCGAAAUAAAUAUAAAACGUUAAUUUUAAACACAUCACCAAUAUUUCGAAAUAAUUUCUCAUACGAUGCUCAAUUUGGGUAUAUGAAUAUACCACAUCGACCUACUCGACGUCACGAGCGUCGAGAAAUUUUUAGAAACUGAUUUGGACUCCCCACGCGCCCUCACGCGCCGGCUAGAGCUCGGCUCUACGCGCAGGCCACGCGCAGCCACGCGCAGCACGUGUCAUCGUCUUCCCCAGGGUUCGCCGGACUGGUUUUUCCGGCGACCCAAUUCCGGCCAAACUUUAAACCUCUUGUUCUCCUUCGUUUUUCACCCAUUUUCUUCGUAUUUUAUACCAAAUUGAAGCCCUAAGAGUGUACUAUCACGUUGGACUAGUUUUAGGGUCUAAAAAUCAAGAAAUCUCACCGAGCAAAAUCCAAGAAUUCGGCCAACUUUGAAACCCACGAUCCCGACGUCCAAAUCCUUCAAACGAACGUCCCCGAGCUUCCUUAGGACCUCACUAAGCUUGCUAUAAGCUUGAAUUCCCCUGAAACACAACAUUUUACGUUCGCAUGAACAGUACCCAAAAAUGGAGGUUUCGGAUUCCACGUGAAAUCGAAGGUCUCACUUCCUAAAACUAGCACCAAUGAACUCAGGACGUCAAAAGGAUGAAGAUACAUACCUUAUUUGCCUCGAUCCGUCAAGUUUUGAAGGGUUUUGGUGGUGGUCCGUACGUGGAGGGUGAGGGAAAGAGAGAGAUCGUGAGGGAGAGAGACAGAGAGUGCUACGGGAGGGAGAGAAGACAGGGAGUGCGUGUGUGUGUGUGAUUGUGUGGUCCAACACAAUCCUCACCAUCCAUCCAAAUCCCUAACCACAAAAAUUUCAAUUCCAAUAGUUUAAUCCCAAAACUUAACAAAAUUAAUUCAGAUAAUGUCACACACACACGUACCCAAAUGUCCGCCAAGGGUAAUUACGUCAAUUCACGCCCCCGAUAUAGAAAUCCCAGGACGGGCUGUGACAAUCUCCCCUCCUUAUAGAAUUUCGUCCCCGAAAUUCCCACAAUCAAAUAACCACUUAGUACCCAUAAAAUAACCUUGGGUACAUCUCUCUCAUCCGAUCUUCCGUCUCCCAGGUAGCUUCCUCUGCAGAAUGGUUCCUCCACAACACCUUGACCAAACUCACCGUCUUGUUCCUUAGAACCUUAUCUUUCCAAUCCAAUAUAGUGACCGGUUCCUCAUCAUACGUCAAAUCCGGAUUAAUCUCUAACGGUUGAGGAGGGAUCACAUGAGAAGGAUCAGAAAUAUAAUGUCGAAGCAUGGAGACGUGGAACACAUUAUGGACCUUAGAUAACUCCGGAGGCAGCUCUAACCAGUAGGCAACUUCACCAACUCUUUCGGUGAUCACAUAAGGUCCAAUGUAUCUCGGACUUAGCUUUCCUCUUUUUCCAAAUCGAACCACACCUCUCCAAGGUGACAAUUUCAAAAACACCCAAUCACCCACAUCAUAUACUCGAUCAGUAGUAUGCCGAUCCGCUAAACUCUUCUGUCGAUCCUGAGCUGCUUUCAAGUUUGACUUAAUUACCUAAACAUUUUGAGUUGUCUCAUCCAUAAUCCCAGGGCCUUCUAACACCCUUUCACCAACCUCAGACCAACAUAAUGGUGUUCGACACGCCCUACCAUAAAGUGCCUCAAACGGAGACAUACCAAUGCUUGAGUGAAAACUGUUAUUAUAAGCAAACUCCAUCAAAUCUAGACGAUCAUGCCAGGAAUCACCAAAUUGUAACACCGAAGAUCUCAACAUAUCUUCCAACGUCUGGAUGGUCCUCUCUGAUUGCCCAUCAGUUUGAGGAUGAUAAGCUGUGCUAUACAGUAAUUGUGUACCCAGAGCUUCCUGAAAAGCCACCCAGAAUUUAGAAGUAAAUCUUGGGUCUCGGUCAGAGAUAAUAUUUACUGGAACUCCAUGAUACUUUACAAUCUUUGAAAUAAACAACUUAGCCAAUUUAUUCAGAGGGUAUUUCUCCCUCACUGGAAUGAAAUGCGCUGACUUGGUAAGUCGAUCUACAAUCACCCAAACGCCAUCAAAUCCAUUUCGGGUACGAGGAAGUUUAUACACGAAAUCCAUGGUUAUAUUUUCCCAUUUCCACUGGGGAACGGGAAGUGGCUGCAUUCGCCCAAAGGGCUUCUUUUCUUUCCGCUUUAACCUGCUGGCAAAUAAUACAUCUACUCACAUAAUCUGCAAUUUCUCUUUUCAUACCCGGCCAAUAAUAAAAUGGUCGAAUGGUAUGGUACAUUUUUGUUCCUCCCGGGUGCAUCGCAUAAGCUGAACAAUGUGCUUCAUCCAGAAUUUCCUUCUUCAAUUCCUCAUUAUUCGGAACAUACAUUCUGUUUUCUUGCAUGAGCAUACCAUCUGAUUCCCGAAUUCUGAGGUCUUUCUUUUUCCUUUCACUUCUUAACUGAACCAACUCCUGAAUUUCUUCAUCCACCAUCUGAGCUGCAAGUAUACGAUCCACCAAAACUGGCCUGACUUGAAAACUAGCAAGAAAAGCUCCAUCUCGGUUUUCAAAUUCCAACCUUACCCCCGUUGUCCUCAAUUCAGCAAGAAGAGGAACACGACUAGCAUAUAAGGCAUUAAGCCUACCUUGAGGUUUCCUACUCAGUGCAUCCGCUACCACAUUAGCACGACCUGGAUGAUACUCAAUAGUACAAUCAUAAUCACUUAACAAUUCCAUCCACCUUCGCUGACGAAGAUUAAGAUCAUGCUGAGUAAAUAAAUACUGAAGACUCUUGUGAUCAGUGAAAAUCUUACACUUCUCACCAUACAAAUAAUGCCUCCAAAUCUUUAAAGCAAAAACAAUUGCUGCCAAUUCAAGGUCGUGAGUAGGAUAAUUUCUUUCAUGAUUUUUCAAUUGCCUAGAAGCAUAGGCAAUCACCUUAUUAUGCUGCAUCAAAACACAUCCCAAACCAUUUAAUGAAGCAUCAUUAUAGAUCUCAAAAUUACCGCUAUCAUCAGGAAGUACCAACACCGGUGCAUGGGUGAGGCAAUACUUCAAUUGCUGAAAACUCCGCUCACAAUUCUCAUCCCACUCAAAUUUAACAUCCUUCCUGGUCAACUUUGUUAACGGUAAAGCAAUCAUGGAGAAAUCCUGAACGAACCGUCGAUAAUAACCUGCUAAACCCAGAAAACUGCGUACCUCAGUGACGGUUCGAGGUUGCUCCCAAUUCUCCACCGCUGCUAUCUUUUGAAGAUCAACUUGAAUUCCUUGAGCCGAUACAACAUGCCCCAAAAAUGCCACUUCGGACAACCAAAACUGACAUUUACUGAACUUGGCAUACAACUGAUGCUCCCUUAAUUUCCUUAACACCAAAUUAAGGUGUCGGAUAUGAUCUGCUUGGGAUUUAGAGUAUACCAGAAUAUCAUCAAUAAAAACAAUAACAAAUUUAUCAAGAUAUUUCUGGAAUACCUCAUUCAUCAAUCUUAUAAAAGCUGCAGGUGCAUUAGUCAACCCAAACGGCAUAACCAAAAAUUCAUAAUGUCCAUACCGAGUCCGGAAGGCCGUCUUAGGUACAUCAUCUUCCUUAAUCUUCAAUUGGUAAUACCCAGAUCUCAAAUCAAUCUUAGAAAAUACACACGCACCUUUCAGUUGAUCAAACAAAUCAUCAAUAUGAGGCAAUGGAUAACGGUUUUUAAUCGUUACCCGGUUCAAUUGCCUAUAAUCAAUACACAAUCGCAGAGUUCCAUCCUUCUUCCUCACAAAUAAUACUGGGGCACCCCAAGGUGAAGAACUAGGUUGAAUAAAACCCUUAUCAAGUAAUUCUUGCAACUGGAUUUUUAAUUCUCUCAACUCAGCAGGAGCCAUUCUAUAAGGAGUCAGAGAUAUAGGGUCCGUACCUGGAAGCAAAUCAAUAGUGAAUUCCACCUCCCUGUCUGGUGGCAAUCCCGGCAAAUCAUCAGGGAAUACGUCCGGAUAAUGUCUGACCACACCAACUUCUUCUAUACUAGUGGGGGCAACCUCAUUUAACACCACAUGCGCCAAAUAUCCCUGACAACCCUUCGAUAACAAUUUCCUCGCCCUUAAGGCAGAAAUAACCCCAUGUCUCACCCCACUUCUCUCGCCCACAAAAGUAACCUCGGGUAAUCCAGGACGAUAAAAAGUAACUGAUUUACCAUAACAAUCAAUAUGGGCACGAUUAUGGUGUAACCAAUCAGCCCCUAAGAUUACAUCAAAAUCCACAAUAUCUAACGGAAUAAGAUCAGCGGACAUAAUCAUGCCCUCAACCAUCACUGGACACCCAAGAUACACACUAUCCACAUAACAUUUAUCUCCUCUAGGCAUGGCAAACUCUAAAUCAAAUCCUAGAGGUGAAGGGUGAGGUUGGGUCAUUUGAGCAAACGUAUGAGAAAUCACAGAGUGCGUAGCACCACAAUCAAUCAAAACCUUAGCAAAAUGACCAAGAACAUUUAACGUACCCAUGAUCAAGUCUGGAUGGUUCUGAGCCUCCUGCAGAGAAAUAUGAUUAACUUGUCCCUGAGCUUGCUGACGUCCACCUCGGCCUCUACUGCCCUGAUUACCUCGUCCCUGAGGAUUACGCCCCUAGCCUGGCUGACUAGGCUGCCUGGAUGAUCCUGCCCCACCAGUAGCAACUUCCCCCUGACGGGGCUGGCCUCCCUGAUGCCAUUGCGAUCCACCAACUGGCAUAGAGGAAUAAGAUGAAUAACCUCCAAAAUCCUGAGAAUACCCAGCCUGAGAAUGAGGCUCCUGGGAAUACUGAUAAGGUCCGGGAGCAUACGGAGCAGCAUCCCCCUGAUAGUGGUAGGCACCACCACGACUCGGCUGGCCAUAACCGCCUGAUCCAAAACUCUGCUGAACUGGUGCUGGAGGUGGCAUAGUGGUCUGUUGCGGUCUCUGCUGACCCUGGGGGCACUGAGAAGCCCGAUGUCCCAUCUGCCCACACGUAAAACAAGCACCAGUACCUCUCCUACACUCACCAUGGUGACGGAAGUUACAACGGCGGCACCAUGGAGCGCCAGAUCCACCAGCACCACCUGAAUCCCUCUGACCCUGAAACCUGGGUCCACCAGAAAAUCUUCCACCACCUCUCAUCGGGCCAGUAAAACUAUAUCCCCCACUAGAAGAACUCGAACUCGCUCCACUCUUCUUAAAAUUCUGUGUCUGCCAAGGUCCCGGAAUGGAGAUACCCUUACCUUUAUCAUUCUUCUUCUGACCCUCAUUCUUGUCCUCAUCAUCCUCACUGUCAGGAAGAUUAUCAGAGUCCUCCAUCCUAACCAAAAUCUCGAAAUACUCAUGAUAAUCAGCGCAAGGAAGUGCAUUGGCAAAGGUACGCCACUUCUUCUUAGAUCCCAACUUGAAACGUCGAAGCAUCUCUCCCUGAUUACCAGCUAUAUCAGGGUCAUAACGAGACAAAUCAGUAAACCUUCUAUAAUAUUCAUGUGCCGACAUAUUUCUCUAUUUCAACCUGGUGAAUUCCUGUUUCUUACGAUCAAUAUACUCAGGAGGGACGAAUCUCUUCAUAAAAUUCUCUUUGAACACUUUCCAGUCGGCUGCCGUCUCAGGUGACAUGUACCUAGUCUGAUUCAUCCACCAUGCUGCUGGUUCAUGACCCAAAAACCAAGUGGUGGUCUCCACCCACCUAUUAGCAGGGAGAUUCCCCUGACUCUGCAUCACCUGGAAAGUCUUCUCAAUAUGAUCUAGCCGUUUCUCUGCCCCCUCAUGACUUUCAUUACCCAUAAACCGAUCUAACUUCAAGUUGUACAUGGUCUCCAGAGGUGUCCUCGGAGGAGGGGGAGGACGAAUCACAUUCUGUAAAGCCUGGGCCAUCGCUUCCCCUAGCUGAGUAAUAUCCAGGAAAUUAGGUUCAGAAGUACGGCGGGACUCCCUACGCUCCCUACGAGGCGGCAUGAUUCUGACAGAAAACAUCAAAAGAUCGUUAAGACAUUAACAAAUUUACAGGACUGCAACCUAAGCUCUGAUACCAAACUGACACACCCCGAUCCGGAGGAUCCAGGUGUGCUGGCCGUCACGUGGGCGUGACGUAACCAUCGGCGCGACACGGAAGCAAAAUAACAAUAUAACUCAGCAGAAAUUCAAACCAAACUCAAACAUAACCACCUACGAACAUAACCGGACGAGUUAUCAGGUAAACACAUAAGUUCAGAGCAUAGGUUAACUGCAGUCAAGUAGGUCUAAAAUAAAAUACAUCACCCUCAGGUGAGUCCUACAUGUCGAAGGUCUGUCAGAAAGCCGGAAAAGACCUCGAGAGCCACCAACCGCUAAUUUAGAACCUGGAGGGGCGCAAAACAAAAUGAGUGGGUCAGUAAAACCAAAGAUUUUCCAAAACAUUUCAAUUAAAACAUUUCUAACCCCUCACCGUAAAACCUGUAUACAUUCUCCAGAAAAAGUAGAUAUAUAUAUAAAACCAUAUGAAGUCUCAAAAACUUAAAUCCCAAAUCUUUAACAUUUUUCAAGGAAACAUGCCAUGCAAUAAAUCAAAAUAUAAAUCAGGUGAAAUAAGGAAUCAAUCGGAGACCCUGCAGUUGGUCCUAUACGAUUAAUUCAACAGCUCAAUAUCCCACUAAGCUGGAGCCACCACAGUGACCUAUACGGCCCUACUCUGCACAUCACUCGGAACUACGUGAGGUAGUCUAUACGAUGAAAGGUGUAAAAAUACGCUCUAGUGCUUCUCUCAUCAUAUCAUCAGCGCGCAUAUCUAAGGUCACCCACCAGUCAGAACCCCUCUAAUGGUCUGUGCGACUGGCAUGUCGGAACCCUCACAUGGUCUGUACGACAUCCACCUACUUGGAUCCAAGGCGAGCGUGCGGUGUGGUGAAUAAAAUAAGCACUAACACCUAGGGUGCAGGUUAUGAGCUUGAAACAUCUUAUCAACAAUCAAUUAAAUGAAUAAUGAACUUACCUGACUUACCUGUGCCUCCACAGCACCAUGCAACAUGUAUGCAUCAUAUAUCAAUCAUAUAACUCAUAUGAAAUUCACAUUUUCCAAAUAAUUCUAUGCAUGGCAUUUUCAAAACAUAAUUUCGUAUAAAUUCAUCUUCUGGGAAAAAUUAAUAGUAUAAAGGUAAUACGAAAACAAAACUGCCCACUCACUGAUAAGUCGACGGGUCGUAACCCCCGUGGCGUCCCUGGAUGCGGUCGUCCUCGGGAUACGUCUCACCUAUAUGCGAAAUAACUAUAAAAACGUUAAUUUUAAACACAUCACCAAUAUUUCGAAAUAAUUUCUCAUACGAUGCUCAAUUUGGGUAUAUGAAUAUACCACAUCGACCUACUCGACGUCACGAGCGUCGAGAAAUUUUUAGAAACUGAUUUGGACUCCCCACGCGCCCUCACGCGCCGGCUAGAGCUCGGCUCUACGCGCAGGCCACGCGCAGCCACGCGCGGCACGUGUCAUCGUCUUCCCCAGGGUUUGCCGGACUGGUUUUUCCGGCGACCCAAUUCCGGCCAAACUUUAAACCUCUUGUUCUCCUUCGUUUUUCACCCAUUUUCUUCGUAUUUUAUACCAAAUUGAAGCCCUAAGAGUGUACUAUCACGUUGGACUAGUUUUAGGGUCUAAAAAUCAAGAAAUCUCACCGAGCAAAAUCCAAGAAUUCGGCCAACUUUGAAACCCACGAUCCCGACGUCCAAAUCCUUCAAACGAACGUCCCCGAGCUUCCUUAGGACCUCACUAAGCUUGCUAUAAGCUUGAAUUCCCCUGAAACACAACAUUUUACGUUCGCAUGAACAGUACCCAAAAAUGGAGGUUUCGGAUUCCACGUGAAAUCGAAGGUCUCACUUCCUAAAACUAGCACCAAUGAACUCAGGACGUCAAAAGGAUGAAGAUACAUACCUUAUUUGCCUCGAUCCGUCAAGUUUUGAAGGGUUUUGGUGGUGGUCCGUACGUGGAGGGUGAGGGAAAGAGAGAGAUCGUGAGGGAGAGAGACAGAGAGUGCUACGGGAGGGAGAGAAGACAGGGAGUGCGUGUGUGUGUGAUUGUGUGGUCCAACACAAUCCUCAC
Molecule: long non-coding RNA, 8420 nt
Filed under: Malus domestica (apple)
Lineage: Eukaryota; Viridiplantae; Streptophyta; Magnoliopsida; Rosales; Rosaceae
Description: long non-coding RNA (MDOM_LNC008045)
Source: RNAcentral